UGUGUGGUGGUAAACGGAGGGGUUCUCGAAGUUUCUGUGGGGAAUCUCAGCCUUGGUGUCGCGUGGCCCUGUCGUAUCCGAUCAGCAAUGACGGUGCGGCUUGGCCGACGUGUCUCUCGGGUGCAUUUCCCCCGCAGUUUACGGCAGGAACUGUUUGGAGCGCACCGAAGGCCUCGGGUGAAGUUGUUGGUUCUGCUGGCAGCCCUGGGUGUCCUGGCUUCGCACCAGACAGGUACGUGAGAGGACUCGUAUAGCGAGCAAUGCUCUGUUGCGGUUCUCAUCUCUCUGCCGAGUAGGUCGGCG
This 303-nucleotide ribosomal RNA is filed under the name Calanus sinicus. RNAcentral's name for it is "partial 28S ribosomal RNA". The record is from RNAcentral. Lineage: Eukaryota; Metazoa; Arthropoda; Copepoda; Calanoida; Calanidae.